GCGGUAAUUCCAGCUCCAAUAGCGUAUAUUAAAGUGGUUGCAGUUAAAAAGCUCGUAGUUGAACUUUGGGCCCGGUUGGCCGGUCCGAUUUUUUCGUGUACUGGAUUUCCAACGGGGCCUUUCCUUCUGGCUAACCUUGGGUCCUUGUGGCUCUUGGCGAACCAGGACUUUUACUUUGAAAAAAUUAGAGUGUUCAAAGCAGGCGUAUUGCUCGAAUAUAUUAGCAUGGAAUAAUAGAAUAGGACGUUUGGUUCUAUUUUGUUGGUUUCUAGGACCAUCGUAAUGAUUAAUAGGGACGGUCGGGGGCAUCAGUAUUCAAUUGUCAGAGGUGAAAUUCUUGGAUUUAUUGAAGACUAACUACGU
Molecule: ribosomal RNA, 363 nt
Filed under: Saccharomyces cerevisiae (brewer's yeast)
Lineage: Eukaryota; Fungi; Ascomycota; Saccharomycetes; Saccharomycetales; Saccharomycetaceae
Description: SSU rRNA
Rfam family: Eukaryotic small subunit ribosomal RNA
Source: RNAcentral